CCCUAUUUUCUUCCCCUCCCUCGCUCUUUCUCCAUUUUCUCAUUCCAUAUUCUUUCAUUUUUCUGUCCAUCCCCAGUUCGCCCCGCUUUCUUCAAGAUUGCGACGUCCCAGAUCUGGGCUAAGGAGCAUCACCUCCGCUCUCUAGAUAUCCUCUUUUUCCCUCUUAGAGCGGGCCCGACGGUCGUAUGCAGACACCAACUCGACAGCGAUGACCAGCGGCGGCAGAGGCAUGUGGCGGAGUGUGGAAGGACAGAAAUUGACACAGGCGGGUGUAAUAACAAUGUUUUGACAUCCAAAUCGGUAAUCCAGGUUCUGAUCACCCAGAGUGGGUACCUCCAGAUAUCCUGUCUCCCCUUUGUUUUCCUUUCUAGUAAGUUGCAUAAUUGCAUUAGUUAGUUUUAGUACAAUGCCUAUUUACUUUUCUGCAAUAUUGUUUGGCUCAUUAGCUUUAGUAGAAUUCUUAUUUUCCCGCUUGAAGUUUUAUUUUGGUUCUUAAGCUUUCUAAUUUGUAGCUUAUAUUUUUUUGUUUAUGCUAUUUGAUAUUUUAGUGUUAGCUGUGAGCAUGUAAUUUUUGCCUUAUGUGAAUUACUCCCAUAAAAUACAAGAAAAAUAAAUUUUUCUAUUAAUUACAAUAUUGUAGGAUUUUGUGAGAAUUUGCGCUAAUUGUUUGCAUUUCUGUGCAUGUUUAUUUCUAUUUAAAUCAUGAAAAGUACAAAAAAAAAGCAUCAUGCAUCACAUUUAGGUUAUUCUACAGUUCCAGGAUUAAUUAAUCAGUUAUUUGUUUUGUUAAAAUUGAAAAGCACAAAAUUGGUUCAUUUUUACAAUUAUUGUCUUUAAUUUUAGAUUGUUGAUGUUUCUCUUUUAAUUUAGGAUCAGAUAAUGUUUAUAAAUUUUGCACUUUGAUAAUUAGUUUAAUUUCACAACUCGGACUAAUUUGGGGUAAUUUAUAUUUUUUAUUAAUUUAGGAAGAAGAAAAAGAAAAAGGAAAAAAAUUGAAAAGGAAAAGGAAUUAAUUAUAAAACAAAGAGAAGGAAAGUUUGAAUUUGUUUUAAAACCCAAAAUUGGGCCAAUUUGGUGGAAACCCAAACUAUUCUGUGGCCCAGGGCAACCAGGUCCAAACCUCAUACCCGGUCCAAAGCCUUCAGUCCAUGAGACCCUGAAACGACGUAGUAUAGGAGGAAUACUACGUCAUUUUGAGUUCGUUAGUGUUAAAUUAUUCCUGGUCCUUCAUUUUAUAUGAUCUAAUGGCCCUAAAGACUUCCCCCAUUUUAAUUAAAAUUGUCCAAACGCUUCAUAUUAACCUAGGAUCUCUGCUCUUCAUCUCCCUCACACCCUGUAUCUCACCACUGUUCGCCGCCCACCAGAAAUCGCCAGCGACAACGGUUGACCUCAAAACCCCUUAAAAUCUUAACCAUGUAACCUCUGGUGCACCUCCAUUCCAAAUCCACCCUUGUUUUCUCUCCCAAACCACCCAUUCUCUCCAGAUCAGAGAUCGAAGUUAGCACUGAAAAUCCUUUCACCCUUUUUCUUCUGAUUUUCGCCUACUCUAGUUUCUUUUUGGUGUUAAAACGUGUGAAUCAACCAGUUUCGAUGUGAAAAAGCCAAUUGGUUGAGGGAUCGAUCUGUGUAUGGUGUCCAAGUUUGGUCAACAGUCUCUGAUAGGCCCUUAUCUCAAUUUCCUCUUCGUUCUUGACUCGUGAUGGGGAUUGUGACAAAGAGCACAAGCCAUGGAAGAAAUUCCGGCUAGUGCUCAAUGUUACAGUUCACACCAUGUGGUUGAGAUUCUUCACGCCGGAUGCCAUCAUCUGUGAGCCAUCAAUCUAGCCGGUACUUUUCUUCUUCUUCAUCUCAGUCGGGUUUAGAAAUCGCAGGUUUUUCAGUCGUUUAAUUAGGUAAUAAUAAUAGGUUAAGAAGCAAUAAAUUCUCUGUUAGCAUUUGUUAAUUUUCCUUUUUCCUUUUUACUUCUUUUUUUAUUAUUAUUCUUAUUCUGCUUCGUUAAGAAGAUCUCAUGUUACUAGAAUUCAGAAAUGAGUUAUUUUGGUUUUCUUAUUUUUCUUGUGAAUUUAUUGGUUUAGACUUGAACUUGGGUUUGCUAGUAGCCCAAAAAACUGGUUGAAGUUCAUUUGGUGCAGAAGCCCAAAGACAUUUGGACGGUUUGAUCCAAUGUCUAUGUUAAAGUAAUUACCAGCCUUAUAAAGGGUAGUUUAGAAAAUUUAAUAAGGGGAAUCUUACUUAAACCGCUUAGAAAAUUUCCAAGAAGGUGGGAUUGGGGGUAGAUUAACAAACAGAUUUUAACUACAGGGUCCAAAAUAAAAAAAUAAAAAUUGGGGAAAGGGUAAAUGGUGAAGUAUAGAAUCAGAUUUUGUUGCCCUAGGAGCUGGUUAUAUAAGGUUCAUUUUCUUUCAUUUAUAAGCAGAGAUUAGAGACCUGAAAAGGGAGCAAACGGUUGAAACCAUACACAUUGAUAUAAGUCCCAAAAUUAGAAAGAAAAAAAGAUACAAAAAAAUCAUCAAGUACAGUUCUAUUGUAGCCGGUUUGUUGAUAUUUCUUGGGUUUUAAAAGCUAGGGUAAUUUGUUGUUUACUUCUGGGUUCCAAAACAUGAAAAGCUGAUUGAUGAACUGAUGUUGGUUGUUGUUUUAAGAUCUGCUGAGAUUGUUAGUUCUUUGCUGAAUUAUUGUGACUAUUUUGGUUGUUUCAGGUAUGUUUCAAACUUUGAAAGUGCAAAAUGAAGUUGGAGAUGCAAUGUGUUUAAAUGAAAUUAGGCUUCCCUUCCAGAUUUUCUCUUCUUUUGUUUAGCAUUACAUGUAUUAAUUAGUUUGAUAGUCAAAGU
This 2831-nucleotide long non-coding RNA is filed under the name Nicotiana tabacum (common tobacco). RNAcentral describes it as "long non-coding RNA (NTAB_LNC003277)". Lineage: Eukaryota; Viridiplantae; Streptophyta; Magnoliopsida; Solanales; Solanaceae. The record is from RNAcentral.